This 211-nucleotide unclassified non-coding RNA is filed under the name plant metagenome. RNAcentral's name for it is "partial contains small subunit ribosomal RNA, internal transcribed spacer 1, and 5.8S ribosomal RNA". The record is from RNAcentral.
UUUCCGUAGGUGAACCUGCGGAAGGAUCAUUCAUAAUAAAGUUUUUUAUGGAACUUUUUAAAACUCCAUAUCCACCUUGUGUGCAAUGUUAGAUCUCGUCAAUCUUGGCGAGAUUUUUAUACAUCAACUCAUUCUUUAACUAAUUUGUCUGAAAAAUAUUAUGAAUACUUAAUUCAAAAUACAACUUUCAACAACGGAUCUCUUGGCUCUC